This 72-nucleotide transfer RNA is filed under the name Stegodyphus mimosarum. It matches the Rfam family "tRNA". From Rfam's summary of the family: Transfer RNA (tRNA) molecules are approximately 80 nucleotides in length. Their secondary structure includes four short double-helical elements and three loops (D, anti-codon, and T loops). Lineage: Eukaryota; Metazoa; Arthropoda; Arachnida; Araneae; Eresidae. The record is from Rfam by way of RNAcentral.
GCAUUCGUAGUGUGAAGGUUAGAACACUUGACGCGUAUUCGAGAGGUCCAGGUUCGAGUCCCGGCGAGGGCA